AUUGCAAUUGCGAAUGAAAUCUGCUUUAUCAGAGAUACCGUCCUGGAAAAUUAUUUGGAUAUUUCCAACAAUUUAGGGACUCGUCCGGGAUCAUUAUCGCCUCUUGGGGGUCUCCCCAGGUGCCCUGGACAGGAUAGGUGCACCCCGCUGAUUUUAGCGGUCCUGUGUGGGUGGUGAGGUGACUCCUUGGGACGGCCGAUAAGAAACCGAGACUGUUCCAUAAAGGACGGGCUCUGUGAAAGCCAAGGGGCAGGUAGGCACGGGUGUUGGCCUUUGCAAUCUGGUAACUUCGUGCACAGACCAAGGAUCUGAGGACUGUUAGCACAAACACUGCCUCUGGAAUUUCCAAUUUAUCCAUUCCAAGCUGGAGACUGGGACCUGAUCCAGACCUGGAAGGAGACAAAGCUGCAACCUGAUUGGGAAGGGCCAUUCCAAGUACUUCUAACAAUGGAAACAGCCGUCAAGAUGGCCGAGAAAGGUUGGACUCACUGCAUUUGAGUAAAACCCUCCCCUAACCCUGAAGUGUGAGAAACUGUUGCCAUGGAGGAUCCUCUAAAGAUAAAAAUCAGAAAUAAAUUGUAAAUAAACUAAUCUGUAAUUUCUCCUCAACAGUAUUAGUAAGGAGGUGUUUAGUCUGUGUGUGCGUGUUUUGUAACAGAGUAUAUCCUAUUCUUUAUCCUAGUAACUGUUUAGAGAUUCAGGUCUUGACAAUAAUGCGGGGAAAGACCAAUAAGUAGCCUUGAUUUUGAUGAUAAUCCAUUUCAAAGAAUACCUUAAUCAAUUAAUUGCUUGGAAAGAGGAUGACUUGAAGAAGGGAUUGGGAGGAUAUCCUGUUAAGUUGUGGAUAAAUGUGACAAGGAAACAAAUGCCUCAGACUGUCACAUUCGAUGCUUGUUGUGUGAUAGCCUAUGGGAGCCUAAGUGCCCAAUGAUGACUGAGUAAUGAAGAUAAAUACCUGUGCCCUAAAUUAGGUAUGAAUAGGGGAUUCCCUUGUAGCGGAUGGAAAAAAUGUAUGGUGGACAACUGCCUAUCGAGGCUGGACAUAUACACCAGGGAUAUUUGAUGCCUCACAAGUACACACCCUAAAAGAUCAGAUUAGUAUGUUUAAAGGAGUUGUCCAACCAGACUGCCAGGCCUUACAGUGUAAUCCAGAAAAUAAGUAUUAGCAAGGCUGAUAGUCUUGUUAACAUCAUUUUGGCGCUGGAAUAGACAUACAUGGAAAAGACCCAGUAGCCAGAUUUCUGAAUAGCUGUAUGGGAUUCACUCCCUGAUCAUAUUCAAAAUGUCCAGGAUAAGGGAAAGGGAGUGGAAAAUCCUCCUAAAAACCCUGCAGUUAUAGUAAUUGCAGAAAUAAAGGAUCUCAGACAAACGUUCGAAAUUGAGAUAUGGUACGGAGAUGUGAAUGCCUGGGUAGAAUGGAUUAAGUAUACUGUCCAGAGUCUCAACCAUAGCAACUGCUAUGCUUGUGCAUCAGGACAGCCUGUAGCUCAGGUAGAACCCCUUCCACUGGAGUGGAUCAAGGAUUCCCAAGGGAUGCAAUGCAUGAUUGCCCUGUACCAGGAGAAAACUGCCUGGGGAAAUGAAGCCUGUAAAUCACUUUCCCUAUUGUUCCCUCCAAUACCUGAGAUGGAUGCCAAAAUCCCUCCUGCAUUCUCCAUGGCCAUAGGUAACCAUACAGCUUGCCUCUCAAGGCAGGGUGUGAAGGCUACCAGGCCUAUAGGGAAUUUCUCACUAUGCAGUGAAACCUUGAACAUUACGGAAGAUUUAGCAGGGAACUAUUCAGGGCUGGGAAUCCCUAGAGCAGAUCUCUGGUGGUAUUGCAGUGGGAAGAUCUUAUGGUCCACUCUCCCAUCUAAUUGGGGAUGUACCUGUGCACUUGUUCAACUAGUUAUACCGUUCACUCUGGCAUUUGAAAACACACACAGAGAAAGAACAAAAGGAGCUUAGGGUCUCAUUUGAUGAUGCAAUAUAUAUAGAUAGAUUCAAUCAGAGUGCCCUGAGGUGUCCCUGAUGAAUUUAAGGCUAGAAAUCAAAUUGCUGCAGGAUUUGAGUCACUGCUCUGGUGGGUGACAAUUAACAAAAAUGUAGAUUGGAUAAACUGCAUCUAUUACAAUCAACAGAGAUAAACUAUACAGGUAUAAACUAUACAAAGGAGGCAGUAAAGAGAAUUGCAGAACAAUUGGAUGCUACAAGUGGGAUGGCUUGGGAAAAUAGGAUCGCCCUAAAUAUAAUAUUAGCUGAAAAAGGGUGUGUGUGUAAUGUUAGGCACUCGUUGUUGCACCUUCAUCCCUAAUAACACAGCCCCAGAUGGCACAGUAACUAAAGCACUACAGGGGCUUACUACUCUUGCUGAUGAAUUGGCAGAAAACUCAGGAAUAGAUACUUCUGACAGUGGAUGGUUGGAGUCCUGGUUUGGCAAAUCGAAAGGGAUGAUUGUGUCCAUAUUUACGUCCUUGAUUGUAGUAGCAGGAGUCUUCGUGGCCAUCGGUUGCUGUAUUAAACCCUGUGUGAGGGGACUGGUACAGCAAUUAAUCGAGACUGCACUACUAAAGCAAACAAUAAUGGAGCCACCACCAUCCUUGGAUAAAAUGAUGGUAUUUGAAGAAAUUGAGAGUGAAGAAAGUGAAGAAGAAGUCUUUAAAAUCAUACUUUAGAAAAGAAAUCAACAUUGUAAAAAAAAAAAAAAAAA
This is a non-coding RNA of Phasianus colchicus (ring-necked pheasant), 2689 nucleotides long. The record is from RefSeq and is a predicted model, not a curated record. Lineage: Eukaryota; Metazoa; Chordata; Aves; Galliformes; Phasianidae.